This is a non-coding RNA of Misgurnus anguillicaudatus (oriental weatherfish), 590 nucleotides long. NCBI's taxonomy places the organism in Eukaryota, Metazoa, Chordata, Actinopteri, Cypriniformes, Cobitidae. The record is from RefSeq and is a predicted model, not a curated record.
UGUGUGUGUGUGUGUGUGUGUGUGUGUGUGUGUGUGUGUGUGUGUGUGUGUGUGUGUGUGUGUGUGUGUGUGUGUGUGUGUGUGUGUGUGUGUGUGUGUGUGUGUGUGUGUACACCUGCAUGUGUACAUAUAGGCGAUAUUGUUUGUGAAAACGGUUUAAAAGUCAUUGUAAUUUAAUAACCCUAACCUGAUACAUUCUUUACUAUAACUCCUACUUAUAGUUAAACAACAUUGUAUGUUAUGAUUUUAUUUGAUUGUUUUCUUUCUGUUUUACAGGUAACAAUUUGAAAUGUUUCUUUGGCCAGUCGACAGAACCACAAAUCUUUUCAAGGCGAGGCUAAAAACUUUUUGGGAAUUAGCGAUACAUUCACAGAGUGCUUAUGUCCGAUGAUCUCAGUUUGAUUCUGGAUGUGCCAGUGGGGAUUGUGAUAGCUGAAGAUUGGACAACUCUUUAACCCCUCAACUCUCUGAUUAGGUUAAUUAGAAUAGAAAUUGAGAUUGUAAUAGCACUUAGAGAUGUGUGUUAGACAUUAUAUAUUAUAUAAUGACAAUAUAUCCAACAUUAAAGUUAAUUUAAUUAAUAAACACAA